RNAcentral lists this transfer RNA (58 nucleotides) under Habropoda laboriosa. It matches the Rfam family "tRNA", at positions 8 to 63 of the family's 71-position model. Rfam says of the family: Transfer RNA (tRNA) molecules are approximately 80 nucleotides in length. Their secondary structure includes four short double-helical elements and three loops (D, anti-codon, and T loops). Further hydrogen bonds mediate the characteristic L-shaped molecular structure. tRNAs have two regions of fundamental functional importance: the anti-codon, which is responsible for specific mRNA codon recognition, and the 3' end, to which the tRNAs corresponding amino acid is attached (by aminoacyl-tRNA synthetases). tRNAs cope with the degeneracy of the genetic code in two manners: having more than one tRNA (with a specific anti-codon) for a particular amino acid; and 'wobble' base-pairing, i.e. permitting non-standard base-pairing at the 3rd anti-codon position. Lineage: Eukaryota; Metazoa; Arthropoda; Insecta; Hymenoptera; Apidae. The record is from Rfam by way of RNAcentral.
UGGCGUAGUGCGCGAAGCCUCGGCUUGCUAAGCCGAAGGUCCCGGGUUCGAUUCCCGG